This is a non-coding RNA of Peltaster fructicola, 83 nucleotides long. The record is from the annotation of a GenBank genome assembly. NCBI's taxonomy places the organism in Eukaryota, Fungi, Ascomycota, Dothideomycetes.
GGGGAUUUGGUCUAGGGGUAUGAUGUUCCUUUCGCAUUCUCUGUGCAUAGGAAAGGUCGGGCGUUCGAAUCGCCCAUUCUCCA